Molecule: ribosomal RNA, 253 nt
Filed under: uncultured bacterium
Lineage: Bacteria
Description: partial 16S ribosomal RNA
Rfam family: Bacterial small subunit ribosomal RNA
Source: RNAcentral
UACGUAGGGUGCAAGCGUUGUCCGGAAUUAUUGGGCGUAAAGAGCGUGUAGGCGGCCGCACAGGUCCGUUGUGAAAACUGGAGGCUUAACCUUCAGACGUCGAUGGAAACCGUGCGGCUAGAGUCCGGAAGAGGAGAAUGGAAUUCCUGGUGUAGCGGUGAAAUGCGCAGAUAUCAGGAAGAACACCCGUGGCUAAGGCGGUUCUCUAGUACGGUACUGACGCUGAGACGCGAAAGCGUGGGGAGCGAACAGG